GAUGAACGCUGGCGGCGUGCCUAAUACAUGCAAGUCGAGCGAACAGACGAGGAGCUUGCUCCUCUGACGUUAGCGGCGGACGGGUGAGUAACACGUGGAUAACCUACCUAUAAGACUGGGAUAACUUCGGGAAACCGGAGCUAAUACCGGAUAAUAUAUUGAACCGCAUGGUUCAAUAGUGAAAGACGGUUUUGCUGUCACUUAUAGAUGGAUCCGCGCCGCAUUAGCUAGUUGGUAAGGUAACGGCUUACCAAGGCAACGAUGCGUAGCCGACCUGAGAGGGUGAUCGGCCACACUGGAACUGAGACACGGUCCGGACUCCUACGGGAGGCAGCAGUAGGGAAUCUUCCGCAAUGGGCGAAAGCCUGACGGAGCAACGCCGCGUGAGUGAUGAAGGUCUUCGGAUCGUAAAACUCUGUUAUUAGGGAAGAACAAAUGUGUAAGUAACUAUGCACGUCUUGACGGUACCUAAUCAGAAAGCCACGGCUAACUACG
RNAcentral lists this ribosomal RNA (495 nucleotides) under uncultured bacterium. RNAcentral's name for it is "partial 16S ribosomal RNA". It matches the Rfam family "Bacterial small subunit ribosomal RNA", at positions 28 to 505 of the family's 1533-position model. The record is from RNAcentral.